AGCAGCCGCGGUAAUUCCAGCUCCAAUAGCGUAUAUUAAAGUUGUUGCAGUUAAAAAGCUCGUAGUUGAAUUUCGGGAUCAAUUUAUUGGUCGUGCUAUUGUACGUACUGGUAUUAUUGAUUUCUACCUUCUGACGAACCAUGAUGUCAUUAAUUUGGUGUCUUGGGGAAUCAGGACUGUUACUUUGAAAAAAAUUAGAGUGUUUAAAGCAGGCUCACGCUUGAAUACAUUAGCAUGGAAUAACGAAAUAGGACGUUUGAUUCUAUUUUGUUGGUUUCUAGGAUCGACGUAAUGAUUAAUAGGGAUAGUUGGGGGCAUUAGUAUUCAAUUGUCAGAGGUGAAAUUCUUGGAUUUAUUGAAGACUAACUACUGCGAAAGCAUUUGCCAAGGAUGUUUUCAUUAAUCAAGAACGAAAGUUAGGGGAUCGAAGACGAUCAGAUACCGUCGUAGUCUUAACCAUAAACUAUAGCCGACUAGGGAUCGGAUGAUGUUAAUUUUUUAAUGACUCAUUCGGCGCC
This 518-nucleotide ribosomal RNA is filed under the name uncultured Glomus. RNAcentral describes it as "SSU rRNA". It matches the Rfam family "Eukaryotic small subunit ribosomal RNA", at positions 569 to 1087 of the family's 1831-position model. The record is from RNAcentral. Lineage: Eukaryota; Fungi; Glomeromycota; Glomeromycetes; Glomerales; Glomeraceae.